Long non-coding RNA from Monopterus albus (swamp eel), 241 nucleotides. RefSeq lists it as uncharacterized. The transcript has 3 exons. NCBI's taxonomy places the organism in Eukaryota, Metazoa, Chordata, Actinopteri, Synbranchiformes, Synbranchidae. The record is from RefSeq and is a predicted model, not a curated record.
UGCACUGAUUCUGGACAUUGUCAACACUUCUACCUUUGUCUCCUCACCUUGAGUUCUAGAAUCUGCUGCGACGUGGUCACUACUCCUGUCUAGCAUUACCAGCUGCUUGUUCCGAAUCUGCCAGCGAUGCUGUUGACUCUCCUGCCCGUUUCCUUACCUAUACGCUGACCCACCUGUGUUCCUGGCCCGGCAGCUCCGCCUAAGUUCUCUCCUGUCUGUCGGACUCCCCUGAGUGCUUCCA